GCGGCGGUGGGGUUGUCCCUCGGGGGGAUACCGGGAGAAAGAGGUUUUUCCUCGUCAAACCGUAAGCAGUCAGCCAGCGAGGUAUUCCAAGCUGUGAGCAGCUGUGUAAGGCUUGGAGUUACAAAGGCCCAAAGAGUUGGAAGAAACUUCAAGGUCUUUCUGAUUCAGCGCUGCUCUAUGGAGUAAUCUGUGUACCCAGAACUUUGGCCCCUGAGCUGGCACAGUGGCAUGGCACCUGGGCUGGCUCCAUGCCGAGGCUGCAUCAGGUGCUGAGGGAAGGGGCUGUUGUCUGUAGGUAUGGCUGGUGAGACUUGGGUUGGUUAAUUGCUAUGAAUUGGUGGAACUGUUGAAGAGCCACUGACAUUUUCUUCACGUGAACUCACGGAUCUGCCUUCCUG
RNAcentral lists this long non-coding RNA (398 nucleotides) under Gallus gallus (chicken). RNAcentral's name for it is "long non-coding RNA NONGGAT004383". The record is from RNAcentral. Lineage: Eukaryota; Metazoa; Chordata; Aves; Galliformes; Phasianidae.